RNAcentral lists this ribosomal RNA (295 nucleotides) under Wolbachia endosymbiont of Mansonella atelensis amazonae. RNAcentral's name for it is "partial 16S ribosomal RNA". It matches the Rfam family "Bacterial small subunit ribosomal RNA", at positions 1035 to 1329 of the family's 1533-position model. The record is from RNAcentral. Lineage: Bacteria; Pseudomonadati; Pseudomonadota; Alphaproteobacteria; Rickettsiales; Anaplasmataceae.
CAGGUGUUGCAUGGCUGUUGUCAGCUCGUGUCGCGAGAUGUUGGGUUAAGUCCCGCAACGAGCGUAACCCUCAUCCUUAGUUACCAUCAGGUAAUGCUGGGGACUUUAAGGAAACUGCUAUUGAUAAACUGGAGGAAGGUGAGGAUGAUGUCAAGUCAUUAUGGCCCUUAUGGAGUGGGCUACACACGUGCUACAAUGGUGGCUACAAUGAGCUGCAAAGUCGCGAGACUAAGCUAAUCCCUUAAAAGCCAUCUCAGUUCGGAUUGUACUCUGCAACUCGAGUGCAUGAAGUUGG